GGGCGGCUGGCGCAAUGGUAGCGCGUUGCUCUCCUAUCAAAGGUUCAUUGAGCACUAAGCAAAGGUUGCAAGUUCGAGUCUUGCGUCGCUCG
Non-coding RNA from Parascedosporium putredinis, 92 nucleotides. Lineage: Eukaryota; Fungi; Ascomycota; Sordariomycetes; Microascales; Microascaceae. The record is from the annotation of a GenBank genome assembly.